AUCGUUUAACAGUAUAGGCUUUAAGAUUAAGCUUGUGUGAGUAAAUCCAGCAUCCAUAGUUGAAACUUUGAAAUCCAUAAGCUCUGCCCAGAAUGCUUUUGACAUGUUUUACGCGAAUCAACAUGACCGUAUAGCCCCUAACUCUACCAGAAUCUAGAUUUUGGUUUUGUUAGCACCUCAAGAAGCCUGAACAUCCAUCUAUCCAGCAUUCCUGAUAAAGCAAAUGUACCACCUAAAACUGCACAAAGCCGAGUGAUAAAAUGAAGAAAACUACGUCGUUCCUCUUUGAUUGCCACAGUGAUGGGUGACAAAUCAUACAAGAAGUAAACAGCUGGCCAUUUCUUA
RNAcentral lists this unclassified non-coding RNA (345 nucleotides) under Hevea brasiliensis (rubber tree). The record is from RNAcentral. Lineage: Eukaryota; Viridiplantae; Streptophyta; Magnoliopsida; Malpighiales; Euphorbiaceae.